RNAcentral lists this ribosomal RNA (545 nucleotides) under uncultured bacterium. Its description in RNAcentral is "bacterial SSU rRNA". It matches the Rfam family "Bacterial small subunit ribosomal RNA", at positions 56 to 612 of the family's 1533-position model. The record is from RNAcentral.
UGCAAGUCGAACGGGGGUCCAUGGGAGCUUGCUCCCAGAAGACCUAGUGGCGAACGGGUGAGUAACACGUGAGAAACCUGCCCCGGAGUGGGGAAUAACUCGAGGAAACUCGAGCUAAUACCGCAUACCCUCAGAUGGUCGCAUGGCCGACUGAGGAAAGAAUUUCGCUCUGGGAGGGUCUCGCGGCCUAUCAGCUAGUUGGUGGGGUAACGGCCUACCAAGGCAGCGACGGGUAGCUGGUUUGAGAGAACGAUCAGCCACACUGGGACUGAGACACGGCCCAGACUCCUACGGGAGGCAGCAGUGGGGAAUCUUGCGCAAUGGGCGAAAGCCUGACGCAGCAACGCCGCGUGCGGGAUGACGGCCUUCGUGGUUGUAAACCGCUUUCAGCAGGGACGAAAAUGACGGUACCUGCAGAAGAAGCUCCGGCUAACUACGUGCCAGCAGCCGCGGUAAUACGUAGGGGGCGAGCGUUGUCCGGAUUCAUUGGGCGUAAAGAGCUCGUAGGCGGUUCAGUAAGUCAGGUGUGAAAGCUCCGAGCUCAA